RNAcentral lists this ribosomal RNA (438 nucleotides) under uncultured bacterium. RNAcentral describes it as "partial 16S ribosomal RNA". It matches the Rfam family "Bacterial small subunit ribosomal RNA", at positions 339 to 795 of the family's 1533-position model. The record is from RNAcentral.
CUACGGGAUGCACCAGUGGGGAAUAUUGCACAAUGGACGAAAGUCUGAUGCAGCAACGCCGCGUGGAGGAUGACACAUUUCGGUGCGUAAACUCCUUUUAUAUAGGAAGAUAAUGACGGUACUAUAUGAAUAAGCGCCGGCUAACUCCGUGCCAGCAGCCGCGGUAAUACGGAGGGCGCAAGCGUUACUCGGAAUCACUGGGCGUAAAGAGCGUGUAGGCGGAUAGAUAAGUCAGGAGUGAAAUCCUAUGGCUCAACCAUAGAACUGCUCUUGAAACUGUCUAUCUAGAAUAUGGGAGAGGUAGAUGGAAUUUCUGGUGUAGGGGUAAAAUCCGUAGAGAUCAGAAGGAAUACCGAUUGCGAAGGCGAUCUACUGGAACAUUAUUGACGCUGAGACGCGAAAGCGUGGGAGCAAACAGGAUUAGAUACCCCGGUAGUC